GUAGGUGGCAAGCGUUGUCCGGAAUUAUUGGGCGUAAAGCGCGCGCAGGCGGUUCUUUAAGUCUGAUGUGAAAGCCCACGGGCUCAACCGUGGAGGGUCAUUGGAAACUGGAGAACUUGAGUACAGAAGAGGAAAGCGGAGUUCCACGUGUGGCGGUGAAAUGCGUAGAGAUGUGGAGGAACACCAGUGGCGAAGGCGGCUUUCUGGUCUGUAACUGACGCUGAGGCGCGAAAGCGUGGGGAGCAAACAGGAUUAGAUACCCUGGUAGUCCACGCCGUAAACGAUGAGUGCUAAGUGUUAGGGGGUUUCCGCCCCUUAGUGCUGCAGCUAACGCAUUAAGCACUCCGCCUGGGGAGUACGGCCGCAAGGCUG
RNAcentral lists this ribosomal RNA (372 nucleotides) under uncultured organism. Its description in RNAcentral is "partial 16S ribosomal RNA". It matches the Rfam family "Bacterial small subunit ribosomal RNA", at positions 527 to 896 of the family's 1533-position model. The record is from RNAcentral.